UCAUGAGUCUGAUUUGUCUUAUUUAGGCUAUGGCCUGUAUCAAAUAUGGCCAACUUAUGUUGGUGUAACAAGUUACAGAUGAGCCAGCCUACCUGUUUGUAUGAGUGUUCUUAACUUGCCCCACAUGCAACAAAAAUGCUGCUAGUUUUCAAAACCCCUGUGUUUAAGGUAUGCAAGUGUAAAUUCAUAUAUAGAGCAACAGGCAAUGAAGAUUCUUUCUAGAGGCAGGUGACAUGGAGUUAUAGAAAUGUAGAAGAUAGUACUUUCUCUUUCUCCUGUGCCUCCUGACCCAUUAGAUUAUCUUCUGUAGAAAUACCAUUAACAAUCUCUGAAUCUUUUGAAAUUUGGGUUGUUAGCUUUCCUCAGGUUGGAAAGACUUCUUGAGAAAGUUUCUGGAAGUCAGGAGCAUCCCUUGGAAUGGAACAGGGAAUACAGAAGCCUUCAACAGAGGAAGAAGUGUUAAACAGAAAGAUUGAGAAUGAACUCAAAACCAAGAACCUUAUUCAGCAUCAUCUUAUGACAGGGAAUUUUCAGAGCAAACCGGAGGCGCUGGUGUCAGAAGAGAGCCAAGGCUUUCAGCUGAAACAUUGGGAAGGUGUUUGUCUUUCAAUUGUCCAAAUAUUGAAAAGCUGA
This 633-nucleotide long non-coding RNA is filed under the name Calidris pugnax (ruff). RNAcentral describes it as "lncRNA (ENSCPUG00000006712.1)". Lineage: Eukaryota; Metazoa; Chordata; Aves; Charadriiformes; Scolopacidae. The record is from RNAcentral.